Molecule: long non-coding RNA, 1077 nt
Organism: Gopherus flavomarginatus (Mexican gopher tortoise)
Lineage: Eukaryota; Metazoa; Chordata; Testudines; Testudinidae
Exons: 3
Source: RefSeq, a predicted model, not a curated record
UCUCACGUGCAACAACAGUGCCAGCCCAGCGUUCCUAUUGGAGGGAACGCGGAACGUCGCAGGGAAUCUUUGCGCCCCUCAGCGGGAGGGCGGAAGCUCAGCCUCAAAUUCUAUGGACAACAGUUCUGUUUCACCCGAACUCCCCAGGGUUUUCAUAACUCACCAGCUGUUUGUCACAUGCAUGUGAAUAAGAUGUCCAGUAAGGAUAACGUCAUCAUACAGAUCAGAUGAUAGAGGAUGCUGUUCUAGUCAUCUUGGAUCUUCUAGGUGUUUCUAGCUAUUGGAUUCUGCUGUGUUGGUGUGAAUUUGGACAAAAUACCAGUGAUCCGAUGGGCCAAAUCUUACCCCCAUAAUUAUGCUUUUGCCGAUAAUAUUGAGGAAUGUGUUUUUACAAUCUCAAAGGUAGAGAAUAAACAGAGGACAAUAAAAGUAGUAAUGGGACCUGUCCGAAUUAUAGAAUUCAUUGCACAAAAUCAUAUGGAUAGAAUGCUUAUCACUGAUGAUGCCCAUAAAUAGGAUAUUCUAUUUGAUGAUCAAGGAGAAGGAAAUUUGAUGCACCAAAGAUCUGGUGGAAGAUCGCCACAGCCCUCAGAGUGUACAUGGAAAUCUCAGGAAGGGACAUGCACAAUACGUGGUAGAGUAGUAAGCGUUGGACUGUGGCAGUGUGCACUAAUAGAAGGAUUAAAGAUACAGUAGUUGCACUGUCAUAAACAGAGUGUUAAGGGUUAAUGUCUCUUAUACUUGUAAAGGGUUACAAGCAGAAAACUGGACACCUGACCAGAAGACCAAUCAGAAGACAAGAUACUUUUAACUUCGGGUGGAGGGAAGUUUGAGUGUGAGUUCUUUGUUCUUCUCUCAGAGGGUCUGAGAGAGACCAGACAUUACUACAGGCUCUCUAAGUCUCUUUUCAAGUAGUAAGUAAAAAACAGGCGGUUUAGGGUUUUUUUUAAAUUGUUUUACUCUAUUUGCAAUUGUGGAUCUGGCUGGUUAACUUUUAUAUGUGUAGUUGCUGGGAAUAUUUUGAUUUGUAUUGGUACUGGGGGGAAGGUCUCUUUCUGGUGUCUGUAAGCUAUAGGA